UUUUUUUUUUUUUUUUUUUUUUGCCCUGAUAAGUACUAGUACUCUAUUAUUUAUUAGCUGCAAUUCCCCCCCCCCCUUUUUUUUUCUUAACGCAUAAAACUACUUAGAUAUUUCGGUCAGAAAACCGUCAAAAGUAACUCUUUUUUUUUUUUUGUUUGUUUUGGCAAUAGAAAUUAACUUAUCAAUAUAGUUUUUUUUUGUUUUUGGUUUGCUUUAAGAAUGUUAAUACACUUGACACGUUUUCAUUUUAAUCAAAAAAAUAAAAAGAGUCUACUGAUUAGCCUCAUAAUUUAACAGAAAUAAUCUCCAAUCAAAAACAAAAAAAAAGCAACAAUUUGUGUGGCAGGAUUUGAUGGUUUGUCAUCACUCAAAGGGGAAUCACUUUUUACCUCGAACUUUUUGUCCAGAGAAAACUUGUUAUGCAUCUUUCUACAAGAUAAAGGCGUGUUCAAAACGAGAAACGCAUUAAUUAGCUGGAGAAGAAAGAAGCCAAUUUGACGCUGGAGACGUACCUAAGCCGUUGAACUUUGACUUUUUUUCAACCCAGAAACCAAAAUGAGAAAGAAAAGUUAGUUUAAAUACAAAAAAAAAAGAAAAAAGAAAAGAGAGAGACAAAUCCUACUUUUAACGUAGUAAAAAAAAUCGAUGUCCAUUCCAUGUGAUUGCAUGGGCACCAUCCACGGAGAAAUAAAUCUAGGUGGAUGGUAUUUUAUUUUAUGUGCAUUAAUUUAGAAGGAGAGAUUCAUCUUCUCGCUGAGUCGUGAAGCUAAAUCACUUUUAGCAGAAGAUUUAAUGCAACCGAUUCGAAGAGAAGAGUGCUAGUAUUAAUGGGUUUGUUUGGACUGAAUAUUAUUGUUUGAAAUAAUUACUGUAGCACUUUUUAUGAUACAACGUACGUGAAAUAAAAAAGAUGAUUGAAAAUAUAAAAAUGUGUUCACCCGCCACGCCACGUGUGCGUGAAUCCAAACUUUGAUUACAAAGAAACACUACUACUAAGUAGCAGACUCUUUCGCCCCCUUAAUAAAAUUCAGAAGGAAAAGAAAAGGCAAAAUUAUGGGUAGUGCUUUGCGGAGACCAAAACCUUCUUUAAACCCCCUAAUUAUUUCUACCAUUUCUAUUUGCAGUCUCGUGGAAAGCAAGAGACAGGCUUCUCGAAUAAGAGUUGAAAUUUGUGAAGCAUGGGAGAUAGAAGAAAAGAAGCAAAAUGAUGACCCCUUUUUUUUUAUGUAGACUUUAGAGAAGAGGAGGGGCCAGCAAAGUGGAAUUCUUGUUUGGUUGGAUUGGGAUUGGAGGACUCCUCCUUUCCAACCUCACCAGCUAGCACACAAACGAAAGUGAGCAGAGUAUUUCCACCCAAUUCUUGGCUUGCCAAGAAUGAAGAAGACGACCAAUGAAUGGUCGCCGAACAAAAUGACAAAAACACCCUUCCCUUGAUAAUAUAUAGUACUUUUACAACUAGGUAGUGUAGUAGUGGUUACGUGUCUCCAUCGGAAAAUAUUUAGUAGCAGAGACUUGACUUGAGAGCAAUGAGAUUCCACUCUGAUCAUGCUAUGUCAAAUGAAGAGAAGGGAAACAAGAGAGAGAGGAAAAAAAAUUGAAGGCAGGGACAAAAGAUACCCUCAUGAAGAAGGAGAGGGCCACGGACGAUGUGCUUGUCAUCACAUGCAAGAUGCUUCGUCAGCCAAGGCCAAGGGAAUCUCAUAAAUUAUUAUUGUUCAUCAUCGGAUCCAAAAUCAAAGCUGGCCAUCCACCGCUGAAAGACGACGAACAAAGAAUAAAAUUCCAUCCUUGCCGAAUAAUUAAAAAAAAAAAAAAAAGAAUAAGAAAAAUUCUAUGUAUUCACCCCAUUUUACUUAUACCCCCCCUUGACCUUUUCUAAACUGAAGUCUAGAAAUUCGAUUUUUAUAAACCUAAUCCCAGAAGAAACCUCAAAAGCCGGCAACUCUUGAGGUCCUUCCAGGGACUUAUAAACCAAACCCAAACCCCCCCCAGAACCGAUGUGGGAUGGCAAACCCCACAAGGGCAAGCCAGUAAGGCCGCUGCUGCAUUUUACUUAUACCCAAGUGCAAAGGUAAUUAACAUUAAAGUGAAAACUUACUGUACAGGGAUCAUUUGUGUCUUGUAUCAUAUUAAUUUGCAUUAAAGCGGGCAAUUCUGUACUAGUAGUUUUUAGUUGACCAUGGAGCAAAGUCAAUGACAAAUAAAUGGUGAAAAAGGGAGGCAGGAAUAAGUAAGAAUAAUAUAAGAUCGAUAAACACAUAAGCACUGCCAGUCCACUAGGGUUUAUUAAAAAAAAAAAAAAACGUCGUGCGUAGAUCCCUUGACUUGGACGUAGAUUUGCUUUGAACGAGAAGGGAAGAGAUUACCGAAACAAUGACCGUACUUUCCCUGGCUUUGUUGUUGUGGCACUAAAUCUAAUGGGGCGUUUUGAAAACCCUAGGGGGACUUUUUCUAUUUGUUUAUCGUUCUUAAUUCUACGGCUACUGUUUGUCAAAUAUCCAAGUGUGAAACAUAUUAUUGAAUCACAUCCGUAUGGUACAACAACAACGUAUUUAGAUGCUCUUUCUUGGAUUCUAUCAUGGGGGUUGUCAUGAUGAACCAGAAGAAAACAACUGCCGUGAUGCAUUAUGCUUUGUCCAGCUUCGGGCCCUGUUUUGUCCCAUUCCCUUGUCACCAUUUGUUCAAUCGACGCUCUCAGAUUUUUCAUUUCUAAUACUCCAUCCGUCCCACUUUGAUAGUUUUGGGCCUUGUUUGGAUUGCUGGUUUCCGUCGAAAAAUGACGUCGUUUUCCGUAAUCACAUUUCCCUAUGACCUUUUUCCCUCACAUACAUCAAAUUGCUACAGUAAUUUUUCCAUGAAAAAUCACGAAAAAUACAAUCCAAAUACAAUCUUGUUUUUCUUUUUCGUCUAUCCCAAAUUAUAGUCCACUUUCCCAUUAAGAAAUGUAAUAAUCUUUUAAAUUGUCUAAAAUACCCUUAUUAAAUAUCUUGUUAUUAAUACAUUGUUAUUAAAUACUAACCCACUACAUUGAAUGCAUUGAGUUUCUCCAAUACUAACCCAUUGGCUGUAACUGAUAUUAAUUGGCACUCUUCGUGAUUAGCAUAAGGGUAUUUUAGGAAAUUAUUAAUCUAAAUUUAUGUUUCCAACCAAAUUAAUUACAUUUUCUUAAUUUGUGUGAAAAAAAAAAUCAAGACUAACAAAAUGGGACGGAGGGAGUAGUAAAUAAUAUGUUUGGAAGUGUUCAUAAUUGGCCGUAGAGCUGUUAAUCAAGCCGAGUCGAGUCGAGUAUUUGGCUACCGAGCUCGAAUCGAGUUUAAUUCGAGCCGAGCUCGACUCGAGCUCGUUAGGAAAACGAGUUUUAAAAUGUGUUCGAACUUGGCUCGUUAAAUAUACAUGUGGCUCGAGCUUGACUCGUUUAUCACAAACGAGUCGAGCUUCACGAGCUCGAGCUCGAGUUCGUGCAAAUUAACUUUAAUAAAAACCUAUAAUUUUUAAUUUUUAUAAUUUUGAUUUCUAAAAUAACAAAUAUGUCCUUCAUUAACGAGCUCUAACGAGCUACUCGAGUAUCAAACGAGCCAAGCUUACUCGGCUCGUUAACUAAACGAGCAUGUUUCGAGUUCGAGCUCGACUCGUUAACCAAAAUUAACGAGCCGAGCUCGAGCCUUAACGAGCCGAGCUCUAACGAGUUUUCGAGCUAUUCGAUUGACUUAACAGAUCUAAUUGGCCGCAGGUAAGGGUAACGUUCAGACUUCCGACUGGUCUUGGAUUUUGGUUAACUAUCGAAUAGACCUGUGAAUCCGGUCUCAUGAGCCGAGUUUUCGUAAGUUCGAGUUUAACUCAUUUAAUUUGUUGCAUAUUUUUUCAUGUGUAUCUGCUGCUAUUAGUACAUAUUUUUUCUUGAAUGAAAUUUUAUUGUUUAUAGAAGAAUAGUUAUGUAGUCGAAUAGUAACUUGUUAAACUUAAAAAAAAAAAAAAAGACCAAAUUUUGUAGAAUAUGAUAAUCUGACAAAUCCAUCUGACCUCUUCAAUUCUUUGUUUCUAACAAAUUUCAUGGACCAAGGGCAAGGACACCGACCUAAACAGUAUUAGGCCUUGUUUGGAUAGAAAAAUUGCUACGUUUUUCGCGAACAUAUUUUUUAAUCAUCUUUUUACCUUACAUAUAUCAAAUCGCUACAAUAUUUUUUCUAAAAAAUAAAAUUCAAAAAAUGCAAUCCAAACAAGACCUUACAUUUUUUUGAAUAAACUACUUUGUAAAAUAUCAUGCCUUUUUAUUGUAAAAAUGUACAGAUAUUUUACUUAAAAUUACAUAAGGUUCAAAAAAAAAAAUUUAUACUAUUUAGGAAGUGUUGAUCUAGCAACCAUCCAUGUCCCACGUCCAAAUGUCAUACGGACUUUUUUAUCUUUUCCCGGGAUCUUUUCUUCGAAGUGACUUAACUGUAUUCAUUAUUGAAUGGGGGUGAACGUCUUUCCGGACAUGUGUUUAUAAACAUUACAUGGCAUGAUUAGUGUCAAUGGAAGCAGGAUUAAGAGGAAUCUUAUGCUCUUUGACCGUUCUUCUGCAAUCUGACUCCUUUCCGCAGGCUACCCCAUCCUCCCAAAACAGAAAAUGCCCAAUUCGCACGCUUUCAAAUGUCCUUUCUCUACCCGUAUAUCAGCUAAAAUCAAGUAAAAACGCCAGAUUCGUGUACAGCAGGUAAAGGACCCUUUCUUUCUGAGAAUAUGUUUCCACUACAGUUUUCCGCCUUUUCACAUUCCCUUUCCUCGUCGCAAUAAAUUGAUUCCUGCCCCCAAAAAAACAAAAAGGGAGAGAGGGGGAAAAACAGCCCCGCUCUUCCUAGAACUUAUGCGCUACUUACUAGUAGUAGUAUUUUCUCUACCCUCGUGACAUUAUCAUAAUACAACAUUAAUUAAGUUGUUUUUGAGGCCGCCCACCAACCAAACGUCCGCUCUAAAACAUUGAACCCAACUACCCCAUCCCAAUGCCCAAUAAUAAAGUGAAAUGCAUUCAGGUAAAUGAAAAUUAAAGGAACAAAAUUUUCAACUUUGUUUUUCAGCCCUCGUCUUGAUUAUGCUAUCAUUACUUUGACAUCCAUAAUACAAAGACUGUAAUAGAACCAAGAUACUCCCUCCAUCCCACUUUGAUAGUCUUGUUUUCUUUUUUCGUCUGUCCGACAUUGUAGUCCAGUUUCCAAUUGAAGAAUGUAGUUGUAUUUUAAUUUUUCUAAAAUACCCUUAUUCAAUAUAAGUUGUUGUUACUAUAAACCUACCCCAUUUAAUGAGACUUUAUUCUUUUUUUACCAUCAAUUCAAGUUCCCGUAAAGUUAUACUCUAAUUAAUGUGAGGGUAUUUUAGGAAAAUAACUAUCUAAAUUGAUUGUUCUAACAAAAUUAACUAUUUUUGCUUAAACAGUGGUAAAAAAAAAAUUCAGGACUAUUAAAGUGGGACGGAAAGAAUAUAUAUUAUUAUCUCUCUUCUGAUGAUUCGUAUUUUUGGAUUUUUUUUUCCACCCAAAAGGCCUAAAAAAUGUCACGCGAAACGUAAAUUCAAGAGAGGUACGUAAAAUUGUAAAAAUAUCAAAAGUGCUAAGCGAGUGAUAUUUUGUCAUCAACACCGUAUUGAGAUUUACCCCCAAGCAAAAUUUUGAGAACAAUAAACAAGUAGAGCCAACAAGAAGGAACUAAACGCCGGACAAACCGAAAGGAUCCAAGAAUAAAAAUUUUACGUGGAGGAGAAGAUUCCCUUGAAAAAAGCAAUAAUGGAAUCUGGUGGCUGUAAAGGCAUGAAACCCCGCAUCAUCUCCCUUCUUGGAGUCCCAGCACCCAGUCCUUUUACCUUUUUUUCUUUCUUUCUUGGCCAUUUUUUCCCCUGCAUCCCAAUUAUUACGUUUACUCCCAACGCCACCUUGCAGCGGAAAAAUCGCAGCCGAUGUCCCAAAAAAAAAAAAAAAAAAAAAAGGUGGAUCCCGCUCAUCUUCCCAAGAUUCCUUCGUCUGAUGAAAUGCCAAAAAUAUGCUAUGCUAUGCUAUCCGCUCUGCGUCGUCAAUUUUCCCGGCCUAAUUCAUCUUCCAAGUGUCGCCUAUGGCUUCUUCUCCUUUACUCUUCCAGAAUCUUUUCUUAUCGUCUCCUCUCUUUUCUUUUCUUUUCCUUUUUUUUUUUUUUUUUUUUGGGUUGCUGGAAGCAAAAGAUAACAUAAAACCCAUCUUCCUUCCUUUGCAAGCUAAAAAAACUGACGACUGACGACUGUUCUGCUGCUCGACGCAAUUCAAUUUUGAACAUAGUAUUGAUUUAGACGACAUAUAUAUUGGUUACCAACAGCAAAAGAUCAGUAGUGUAAGACAGAUGAAGGUAUACAAAGAAUAAUUUUCGGUUUCUGCAACUUGUAAUUUGUGCAACUGAAUCUAAACAAAGCUUCAUCAAAUCAAAUCAAAUCUACCUAAACUAAACUAAACUAAACUGCAAGAUCUUGCUUGGUGGAGCAUCCUCAGUUACGACAGGGUACAAUAUACUGUAUAUAAAAUGCAUAGUUUUUUUGUUUUGUUUUUUUUAAGGUGAGCGGGAGGAUGAUUAUCCUUGGCUUCACAUGACGCAAUUUUUAGCUAGGAGAUACUCACAAUAAACCAUGAAAAACUUCUUGAUCCAUCCUUUGGACUUUCUCUUUUUUUUUUUUUUUUUUGGGGAUGUUACAAGCUGAGUACUUUCUAUAUAUAUUUUUAAUUAAAUUUGUCAAUCAAGUAAUAUUACAAAGUUGGCUAGAAUGUAGCUUAGAAGCUUAGGCUAAUCCAUUUUUUUCUUUAGAACCAUCAACAUUAAUGAUAACAAUAAAAUUCGAAUAAAAAAAGUUCUAAAUAUCUUAAUUUAUUUUUUAAAGUUCACAUUUCUCACGUUGACAGUGGAUACAUUAUCACAUGUAUGAUCAAUAUAAUAAAGUUUUAACUUAUAUAUAUAUAUAUAUAUUAAUGGAGUUAUGCAUUUAAAACUACACAUGGAAUAAGCUAGAACAAAAAAAGAUUAAAUAAAUAAAUAAAGGAGCUAAAAGAUCAGAUCAAACACAACUAUGACGCUAAUUAUUAAAUUAAAAAAGUCUGUGAUGCCAGCCAAAGGGACGAAUCCACGUGUUGUGAAUCAAGUAGAUGGACCUCGGCAAAAUGUCCCUUUUGCGGGUCAAUUGUAAUUCUGAUCUACCACGGCAAAGAUUCGAGCUGCUAUGGAAUGUGGAUUCUUAUAUUAUUCGCAUUUUGACCGUAUUCUCCGUCUGUUUCAGCGUGGGGAUGCAUGCUUACAUCCACGGCGUUUGUACAUAUUUAUAGUGAAGUACGGAGAUUUCUCCAUUACCGCGUCAUUAUAGUCUUUUUGGAUGCAAAAUAAGGCUAAAAAUUAGUGAAGUAUGAAGAUAUAUUUGAGAAUCGUAUCGGUGGUGGGCGAUGAGUAAAAAUUUUAUAAACGAUUUAUAAUUUUAUAGGCAUGCAUUAACUUGUGAUGGUGAUGAAAAUCGAAUUCAUCCAAUUAUUUUUAUUUAAAAAAAUAAAGAUGUGUAAAUUUGGAUCGUUGUAUUGAUAACCUAUCACAUUAUAUUAAAUUGAAGCGCUCAAACACGCAUCCCUUUACUUUUAAAAUUUUCGACAUAUAGGAUAGACGAAGGAAACUUAUUAUUGUUGCGGAGACCAAUGAAGAAGGAAUUUAUGACAAUUUAUUGUUAUAUAGUAUGCUAUUUUUAACGCUUCAAAAGCUUGGUAAAGAACUCCACAAGUGCAGGACAAAGAACUAAAAAUAUUUUAUUGUCUUGCAAGUUUCUUUUUCCUUUUUCAUUAUUUAUGAUGGAAAUUGGUUAGCAAACAAAUUUCUACAUAGAACAAGGUAAAGAGAUGCAUUAAACACAAUCAAGACUCGAUUAUUCUCAAUUUGUCAUUUUGCGGGGACUCAAUUAUUCUCUAGUAUGCAAUAUUAAUCUUAGUAAUUCAUUAACAAAAAUAAAGAAAUUUUACCGAUCACUAGUAAGAAUGUAAUGUCUAUAAAAUAAAAAGAUGAUUAAACAGCGUAAUUUUUUUUUAAUGAAAACUCACCAUCCAAAUGAAUAAUUUUUUGUUUUUUAGUGUCGUGUGGCAAUCACGCACGAUGAAAAUGUUAAAACAUCAAGUCACAAACGCCCCACGAGAUUCCAAGGAGGGCAAUUUAGACUAAUUACCCGACUUGGAUGGAGGAAUCUACCAGAAGAUAACCAGAACUGGCUGGGUCAAAACCUCCGACUUUCAUCUAUAAUUAAUUAAUUGCAGAGUAAAAGAAUUAAAAAAAAAAAAAUCCUAGAACAAUAGAAGAGUAUAUUACUAGAAAAAGAUAAGGAAAAAAUAUGCGACGACGCGAUAGUGGCAAUAUAUAAUUCUAUCCCAACUUUCUCGCUGUCAAAACCCAGCGUUGCUGUUUUUGAGAAUCUUCCCUUCGCCUCUCCCCUCUCUCCUCUCUUUCUCAAGUCUAAUCUUCACCGCUCUCUUAUAUAAACAGAAACCAGAUAUAUAUAGAUCUUAAACACCAUUUUUUUUUUUAACUUUCCUUUUUGUUCAAUGUUUUUUAGCUUAAAUGCCCACAAUCAUAAUCCAAAGAUCUAGAUUGAACAGAGGAAAAUAGACGAUCGAUCUCGCAUAUACAUAUCGAAACAAUACGACUGUGAGUAAUUUAAUUGGAAAAUGGGUUCAAUUCCGCCUGAACUGAGCUUGGAUUUUCGACCACCUUCAACGGGAACAGUAACAACCACCACCGUUACAGCUGCUGCAUCAGAAGAACAGAGUUGUUGUUAUGUCCCCAAGACGAUCGACGAGCUGGUUGGACAAGUGUCAAUGAUCGGUAACGUAGCGGAGAAGCUGUUAAAGCUUGAUGAUUAUGUGACGAAACUUGAAGAUGAAAUGAAGAAGAUCGAUGCUUUCAAACGUGAACUCCCUCUUUGUAUGCUCCUCCUCAACGAUGGUCGGUUCUCAUUAUCCUUUUUUUUUAAAAUUGUUUUCUUUUUUGAUUCGUAGAUGUCACGGGUCCUCCCUUUUACUCAUUCCUUUUCCUUCUGUUUCUGUUUGUGAAUUUUAGAAGGGGAGGGGGGGGGGGAGGGGAAGGAAGAAUGAGACUCGAACACUUGUUUUAAGAUGAGAAAGAGACACUGCCAAACCAUUUCGUUGGAUUCUUGAUGUCCUUUUGUUGCUAAAAUUUUGUGGAGGAAAUGAAAUGUUUGUCCUGUUUUGAUUUCACGAGCUAUGUUGGAGAUUGGAGGGAAUACUGAUGACGUUCUGGAGAUGGGUUUAGGAGUUUGAUGGUUUUGAUUGAAGGGUUUAUGAUUUAUUUAUUAAUUUUGGUUUGGGUUUUAGCAGUUCUGAAUGACUUUGUGGUUGUUGUGGUUGCAGCAAUUAGGACUUUGAAAGAGGAAUCGACGAAGUAUACGACAAUGGAUGCUGGACCAGUGUUGGAAGAGUUCAUUCCUCUCAAGAAAAAUUGUGAUGAAGAUGAGAAAUCGGAAAUGGUUGUUGAGACCAGCAAAAAAGAUAAGGACUCCAGAGAGAAGAUGAGUUGGAUGAGUUCUGUGCAGCUCUGGAAUAGUGAUAACCCUGCCUCCAAAAGUGAUUUUGACAUUAACGAGGCACAUUCUAAACCAGAAACCAAAAAGGUACUUUAUUAAAUAACUGAAUGCAUAUUGAUUAUGAAAGGUUCAUGUUUGUUAUUGUUAACAAUAUAAUAUGUUUUGUUUUGGAAAUUCAGAGAGUCGUGGAAGCAGAAAUCCAGGAGGAUUUGUUUGAGUCUUGUAAAAAUGGGAGCGUAGCAAGGGCAUUUGUGCCUUUCCAGGGGUGUUCUAGUCUACCUGUGAUGAUAACAAGGAAGGAAAAUGAGUAUGAAUUACCAGGAGUAGUACCUGGGCUUUCGCUUCAAACUCCUGGGACUAAGAAACUAAAGGAGGACAUUGGCUCUGGCGGGUUAAAUUCGAGAGUUGGUGGCAGCAGAGCUGUUUCUUGUUCUGUAUCCAGCGUUCAGUCAAAUGUAAGGGCGGCUGUGUCUCAGCAGCAGCAGCAGCAAACUUCUAGAAAGCAAAGAAGGUGUUGGUCACCAGAGUUGCAUCGUAGGUUUGUCGAUGCCCUGCAGAAGCUUGGAGGUUGUCAAGGUUAGAACUUGAACCCCUUGUUGCUGCUUUUGAUGUGAUUUAACCCGUAGUUUUGUCAGUGUUUUGUCAUUUUGCUG
RNAcentral lists this long non-coding RNA (10205 nucleotides) under Coffea arabica (coffee). RNAcentral's name for it is "long non-coding RNA (CARA_LNC001028)". The record is from RNAcentral. Lineage: Eukaryota; Viridiplantae; Streptophyta; Magnoliopsida; Gentianales; Rubiaceae.